RNAcentral lists this ribosomal RNA (597 nucleotides) under uncultured Pseudomonas sp. Its description in RNAcentral is "bacterial SSU rRNA". It matches the Rfam family "Bacterial small subunit ribosomal RNA", at positions 132 to 715 of the family's 1533-position model. The record is from RNAcentral. Lineage: Bacteria; Pseudomonadati; Pseudomonadota; Gammaproteobacteria; Pseudomonadales; Pseudomonadaceae.
GCGGGGGGGGGGAAUGGGGGACGUUUCGACGGAUCGCUAAUACCGCAUACGUCCUACGGGAGAAAGCAGGGGACCUUGGCCCUGCAUGGGCUAUCAGAUGAGCCUAGGUCGGAUUAGCUAGUAGGUGCAGUGAAAGGGCUCACCUAGGCGACGAUCCGUAACUGGUCUGAGAGGAUGAUCAGUCACACUGGAACUGAGACACGGUCCAGACUCCUACGGGAGGCAGCAGUGGGGAAUAUUGGACAAUGGGCGAAAGCCUGAUCCAGCCAUGCCGCGUGUGUGAAGAAGGUCUUCGGAUUGUAAAGCACUUUAAGUUGGGAGGAAGGGCAGUAAGUUAAUACCUUGCUGUUUUGACGUUACCAACAGAAUAAGCACCGGCUAACUCUGUGCCAGCAGCCGCGGUAAUACGAAGGGUGCAAGCGUUAAUCGGAAUUACUGGGCGUAAAGCGUGUGUAGGUGGUUCGUUAAGUUGGAUGUGAAAGCCCCGGGCUCAACCUGGGAACUGCAUCCAAAACUGGCGAGCUAGAGUAUGGUAGAGGGUGGUGGAAUUUCCUGUGUAGCGGUGAAAUGCGUAGAUAUAGGAAGGAACACCAGUGA